RNAcentral lists this long non-coding RNA (224 nucleotides) under Capsicum annuum. Its description in RNAcentral is "long non-coding RNA (CANN_LNC003194)". Lineage: Eukaryota; Viridiplantae; Streptophyta; Magnoliopsida; Solanales; Solanaceae. The record is from RNAcentral.
CAACUAAAAUAUUCAUUUACACAAAAGUCACCGUCACUCUGACUUCUAACUUUUUGACUUCACAUCACCAACUUCUUGGUCUAAUUUCACUACCAAUAGGUCAUGACAACAACACUUUAACGCAUACUACUAUUCGGGUGGAAAUACAGUUCCAACAUUCUACUACAUAUCAUCACCCCUUAAGCAAGACAUUUGUAACAUAAAUUUGAAGGGGACUAAAUGCA